RNAcentral lists this unclassified non-coding RNA (334 nucleotides) under soil metagenome. Its description in RNAcentral is "partial contains 5.8S ribosomal RNA, internal transcribed spacer 2, and large subunit ribosomal RNA". The stretch from base 1 to 120 matches the Rfam family "5.8S ribosomal RNA", at positions 35 to 154 of the family's 154-position model. The record is from RNAcentral.
GAUGAAGAACGCAGCGAAAUGCGAUAAUUAAUGUGAAUUGCAGAAUUCAGUGAAUCAUCGAAUCUUUGAACGCACAUUGCGCCCCCCAGUAUUCUGGCGGGCAUGCCAGUUCGAGCGUCAUUUCAACCAUCAAGCCCUGCUUGUGUUGGGGUCCUGCGGCUGCCCGCAGGCCCUGAAAACCAGUGGCGGGCUCGCUAGUCACACCGAGCGCAGUAGCACAUCUCGCUCAGGGCGUGCGGCGGGCUCCAGCCGUUAAAGCACCCACCUUUCGCAAGGUUGACCUCGGAUCAGGUAGGAAUACCCGCUGAACUUAAGCAUAUCAAUAAGCGGAGGA